AAUUCGCCCUUAGAGUUUGAUCAUGGCUCAGAUUGAACGCUGGCGGCAUGCCUUACACAUGCAAGUCGAACGGUAACAGGUCUUCGGACGCUGACGAGUGGCGAACGGGUGAGUAAUACAUCGGAACGUGCCCAGUCGUGGGGGAUAACUACUCGAAAGAGUAGCUAAUACCGCAUACGAUCUGAGGAUGAAAGCGGGGGACCUUCGGGCCUCGCGCGAUUGGAGCGGCCGAUGGCAGAUUAGGUAGUUGGUGGGAUAAAAGCUUACCAAGCCGACGAUCUGUAGCUGGUCUGAGAGGACGACCAGCCACACUGGGACUGAGACACGGCCCAGACUCCUACGGGAGGCAGCAGUGGGGAAUUUUGGACAGUGGGCGAAAGCCUGAUCCAGCAAUGCCGCGUGCAGGAUGAAGGCCUUCGGGUUGUAAACUGCUUUUGUACGGAACGAAAAAGCUUCUCCUAAUACGAGAGGCCCAUGACGGUACCGU
This 487-nucleotide ribosomal RNA is filed under the name uncultured bacterium. RNAcentral's name for it is "bacterial SSU rRNA". It matches the Rfam family "Bacterial small subunit ribosomal RNA", at positions 1 to 481 of the family's 1533-position model. The record is from RNAcentral.